Molecule: small RNA, 70 nt
Filed under: Caenorhabditis brenneri
Lineage: Eukaryota; Metazoa; Nematoda; Chromadorea; Rhabditida; Rhabditidae
Description: snoRNA CBN34004
Rfam family: Nematode sRNA ceN72-3_ceN74-2
Source: Rfam by way of RNAcentral
CGCUCGGUCCGGAGUCAAUGGGUUACCAUAAUUCACCCCAUUCUGCCAUUGACACCAACUUGACCGUUGC